AAUGAAUAUUGAAAGGGCGCAUGGCGGAUUCCUAGGCAUCUAGAGGCGAUGAAGGGCGUGACUACCGACGAAACGCUCCAGGGAGCCGGAAAAAGGUUUUGAUCUGGAGAUUCCCGAAUGGGGCAACCCACAUAUUCCUUGCAGAAUUCAUACGCAAGAGAAAGCAAACUCGGGGAACUGAAACAUCUUAGUACCCGAAGGAAGAGAAAGCAAACGCGAUUCCCCUAGUAGCGGCGAGCGAAGCGGGAACAGCCAAAACCUAUGCAUGCUUGCAUAGGGGUUGUGGGAAGGCAAAUAGAGUGAUCUGCAACGUAUUGGGGGAAGGAGCUGAAACCUCCACCAUAGAGAGUGAUAGUCUCGUACCCAUUGACUAUUCAGCAUCACAUGCAAUCUCCCAAGUAGCACGGAGCACGUGGAAUUCCGUGUGAAUCAGCGAGGACCACCUCGUAAGGCUAAAUACUCCUAGAUGACCGAUAGUGGACCAGUACUGCGAAGGAACGGUGAAAAAGAACCGCGGAGGCGGAGUGAAAUAGAACAUGAAACCGUGCGCUUACAAGCAGUUGGAGGCCCCUGAGGGCUGACAACGUGCCUGUUGAAGAAUGAGCCAACGAUUUAGAGGGGGUGGCGUGGUUAAGGCCUGACCGGCCGAAGCCAUAGUGAAAGCGGGCCUGAAUAGGGCACCUGUCCCUCCCUCUAGACCCGAACCCAGGUGAUCUACUCUUGAUCAAGAUGAAACUUUGGUGAUACGAAGUGGAGGUCUGAACCGCCCGAUGUUGAAAAAUCGACGGAUGAAUUGAGAGUAGCGGAGAAAUUCCUGUCGAACCUGGAGCUAGCUGGUUCUCCUCGAAAUGUGUUGAGGCACAGCGGUGGAUUAUGUACAGCAUGGGGGUAAAGCACUGUCUUGGUGCGGGCUGCGAGAGCGGUACCAAAUCAUAGCAAACUCAGAAUACCAUGCCCAUCCAAUCCACCAGUGAGACUGCGGGGGAUAAGCUCCGUUGUCGAGAGGGAAACAGCCCAGACCAUCAGGUAAGGUCCCCAAAUGAGCAUUAAGUGAGAAAGGAUGUUCAAGUACUAUGACAGCCAGGAGGUUCGCCUAGAAGCAGCUAUCCUUUAAAGAGUGCGUAACAGCUCACUGGUCGAGUGCUUGAGUGCCGAUAAUGAAUGGGACUAAAUGCUCUACCGAACCUAUGGGAGAUUCACAUGAAUCUCGGUAGAGGAGCGUUCCCCCGGGGAUGAAGCGAGUGCGUGAGCACCUCGUGGACCUUGGGGAAGUGAGAAUGUUGGCUUGAGUAACGAAAACAUUGGUGAGAAUCCAAUGCCCCGAAAACCUAAGGGUUCCACAGCAAGGCUCGUCCACUGUGGGUUAGUCGGCUCCUAAGGUUAGGCCGAAAGGCGUCGCCGAUGGAAAGCAGGUUAAUAUUCCUGCACUUACCUCUCUUGAGUCACAAGGGACUGCGUCCGCGCACAAGAAAAGCUUGAUCGACUAUGAAGAGGGUGAGCCGUACCUGAAACCGACACAGGUAGGUGAGUUGAAUAUACGAAGGGGCGCGAGAUACCUCCCUCUAAGGAACUCGGCAAAAUGGCCCCGUAACUUCGGGAGAAGGGGUGCCUCCACUGGAGGUUGCAGUGAAAUGACUCAAGCGACUGUUUAUCAAAAACAUAGGUCUCCGCAAAGUCGCAAGACAACGUAUGGGGGCUGACGCCUGCCCAGUGCUGGAAGGUUAAAGAAGCUGGUUAGCUCUGCGAAGCUAGCGACUGAAGCCCCAGUGAACGGCGGCGGUAACUAUAACCGUCCUAAGGUAGCGAAAUUCCUUGUCUGGUAAGUUCAGACGUGCACGAAUGGCGUAACGAUUUGAGUACUGUCUCAGAGGGAGACUCGGUGAAAUAGAAAUGUCUGUGAAGAUGCGGACUACCUACAUCUGGACAAAAAGACCCUAUGAAGUUUUACUGUAACUUGAGAUUGGAUCUGGACUUUCGCUGCGCAGCUUAGGUGGGAGGCGAUGAGUGCCCUCUUCCGGGAAGGCAGGAGCCAUCAGUGAGAUACCACUCUCCGAAUGUUAGGAUUCUCAAGGUAACCUCAAGCAAGGUACCUGACAGUCUCAGGCGGGCAGUUUUUCUGGGGCGGAAGCCUCCUAAAAGGUAACGGAGGCGUACAAAGGUUCUCUCAAGUUGGUCGGAAAUCAGCUGUAGAGUAUAAAGGCAGAAGAGAGCUUAACUGUAAGACCUACAAGUCGAACAGGGACGAAAGUCGGUCUUAGUGACCCGACGAUGCUGUGUGGAAAGGUCGUCGAUUAACGGAUAAAAACUACUCUAGGGAUAACAGGCUAAUCUCCCCCAAGAGUUCACAUCGACGGGGAGGUUUGGCACCUCGAUGUCGGCUCUUCGCAUCCUGGGGCGGUAGCACGUCCCAAGGGUUGGGCUGUUCGCCCAUUAAAGCGGUACGCGAGCUGGGUUCAGAACGUCGUGAGACAGUUCGGUCUCUAUCCGAUGUAGGCGUAGAACAUUGAAAGCACUCUCCCUUUGUACGAGAGGAUUGGGGAGGACGUACUAUAGGUGUACCAAUUAUUCGAAGAGUAUACGUUGGGUAGCUACGUACGGAGUGAAUGAUGAUAACUGCUGAAAGCAUAUAA
Molecule: ribosomal RNA, 2630 nt
Filed under: Crustomastix stigmatica
Lineage: Eukaryota; Viridiplantae; Chlorophyta; Mamiellophyceae; Dolichomastigales; Crustomastigaceae
Description: partial 23S ribosomal RNA
Rfam family: Bacterial large subunit ribosomal RNA
Source: RNAcentral